RNAcentral lists this ribosomal RNA (339 nucleotides) under uncultured bacterium. RNAcentral's name for it is "bacterial SSU rRNA". It matches the Rfam family "Bacterial small subunit ribosomal RNA", at positions 355 to 704 of the family's 1533-position model. The record is from RNAcentral.
UGGGGAAUAUUGGGCAAUGGGCGAAAGCCUUACCCAGCAAUGCCGCGUGAGUGAAGAAGGUCUUCGGAUUGUAAAGCUCUUUGAUCAGGGACGAACACAAUGACGGUACCUGAAGAACAAGCCCCGGCUGACUACGUGCCAGCAGCCGCGGUAAUACGUAGGGGGCGAAGCGUUGUCCGGAAUGACUGGGGCGUAAAGGGUGUGUAGGCGGGCUCGCAAGUUGGAUGUGUAAUACCCCAGAGCUUAACUCGGGUGCUGCAUCUGAAACUACGAGUCUUGAGUGUCGGAGAGGUAAGUGGAAUUCCUAGUGUAGCGGUGGAAUGCGUAGAUAUUAGGAGG